Long non-coding RNA from Rhipicephalus sanguineus (brown dog tick), 3868 nucleotides. RefSeq lists it as uncharacterized. Lineage: Eukaryota; Metazoa; Arthropoda; Arachnida; Ixodida; Ixodidae. The record is from RefSeq and is a predicted model, not a curated record. The transcript has 2 exons.
GCUUCCGGGACUGUUGUACCAUGCCUGACGACGCUAGUCUCCAAAUAUGGCGCCCCAACUCAAAAAGGAACAAUCCUGGGUAUCUUUCGGUCUUUGGGUGCUCUGGCUCGUGCUUUGGGCCCAUUGCUGUCAGCUACAGUCUACUGGUGGGCAGGUCCUGUGGUCUGCUACUGUAUUGGUGGCUGCCUGUUCAUCUUUCCACUGCUCAUCCUCAGGAACCUGUACAGAACAGUUGGGGACAUGGUCAAAUAAGAUCAUUUCUCCACUGAUGUAGAUUAGAGACAACUAUAGUGAUUGUGCAGUGUUUGGAAAGUUGUCUUUCAAAAGUGUGGCAACGUGUGUGUUGUUUGCUCAGAUUAUUAUUCAGUGUGAUGAAGUUGUCUUCAUAACACCUAAUCACAAGGCCACUAACCAUGUGAUUAUCUUGUUGCCAUUUUACUCCAUAGCAGCUUCCUUUUUCUUCUGUAAGAGAUUGUUUUCACAUUUUUUGGUUUGCUGUCUGUACAUUAUAGAUGUAUAAUUUGUAUUAAGAUAUUGUUGCGAAUUUAUAAGUGAUACCAUUUGCAUUUAGAACCAGUGUGAAUGUUGUGAAAUGCCUACUGUUGGCCUUCUGUAAGCAUUUGUUUUGAACAUUGAGCAUUUAUUGUAGUAACAAAUGAAGAUUCUGAUUUUGUCUUUUGCUUGUUUGCUCGUUUGAACGUUGUAAUUCCUCAGCACCAGUUCUCACUAUUGAAAUUUUUAUGGUGCGUUAGCGUAAUGCAAAACAGUAUUUAUUGCCCUAGCGUCAAAACAUAUUAAAGUCCUUCUACCUUUUUUUCUAAAUAUUAUUGUCUCUCAUGAAAUGGCACAUUGCAUCAGAUUAUUCCCAAAGAAAUUAUUCUUGCUGCAGUCUGUUACUAUACUCCGAGCAUUUAUUUUUCUCUGUGUUUGUAUGUGUUCCAAUGUAUGUGCUUGCAUGUUCUGUAGUUGACUGAAUAUUAACUCACUGAAAUUCAAGAAACACCAAGAUGUGCCUAGAUCAACAUAAGCGCAGAAAGCAGAUGAGCAUAUCAGUUAAUGGUAGUUUAUCAAGAAACUAUGACACUUCUGCACAAGUUGACUUUGCUUGACACCAAGUAACCUACGUAAGCCUUCGAUUUAAAAAACUUGGUUGAAAAGGGAGGAGUCAUCGAACAUUGAGGGGUAGAAAUUUCGGAAGAGGCAAAAUCUAGCUACGAAGAUGAUAACAUUUACAUUUAUUUUAAGCUUAGUUACACUGCAGUUACUGGAGCAAUUUGUUGAAAGUAUAUGUCAUAGCUGGGUUUUGAAUAAAUUCCAGUGCAGUAGAAAGGGUAAUCAGAUGAACAUCCCAAAUGGCCCUGCAUAUUCCAGUUAUGGACAAAUGAGUGUUAUGUAAGCUAGCAGUUUAGUAUGAGGGGAGGCCAUGUACAGGUUCCGCCCUAAGAAACCGCGGACACAGUUCAUUUCAUUGAUCAUGUUCAUUGGCCAAUUGAAAUCAUUGGUGAGCAGAGUGCUUAAAAUAUUUUGACACAAUUGAUAGCAUACAUUCCAGACAUGCAAGAGUAACUGCAAUGAAAGGCAAUCGGAGGUUCGCACUGUGUUUGGGGACACUAUCUGAUAUGUGCACCAAGAAUAAAUAUUAUUAAAGUCAGACUGAAGGAUAUUAAACGUCUUUAGAAUUAGUAAUAUGGCAGUAAAUUAUGCAAUUGUAGGUGCAUGACGAAGCGCAUGGUAUUAGGGAAGCUGGGUAAUCAAAAACAAGCGGAUCAAUAUUCAGAGGUGACAGUUUUAGAAACGACAGUCUAUUCGAAACCUCAUGCAGUGCUUCUUGAAAACCUAAGCACCAAGUUUUGAUGGGUGUAUUUCAUUCGUGCUAAUGGUCAAAUCACUUACAAAAAGCCCUACGUGGGUGUCGCAUGAUGUGUUUCUGGGAGAACCCUACUGAUUGUUAUGAAAGAAGUUAGCAGAAACAGAAAUUAUAUGUGGGUUUACUGAGACCACUAUAGUCUAAUUAAAGUAGAACAUUUCGAUAUGCCAAAGGUAUGUGUUCUACGUACAUUUUCAAGAUUUGUGCAUCAGAUCAUUUUAGAACAUAUACUAUGUGUCUGGUGGUUACUGAUGCUAGCUGCUUUAGUGCCUAUCAAAUGACCCAUGAAAAAGCUUUCUCGGUGUAAAAUUGAGGUGCAAUUUCACAUGCUAAAUGGUACAUUUAUGCAUCUGUACUUUAGAUAGCACAGAAAACCUGUUUUAUUCUGUAUUGUAAUGUUUCAUAGCAAAUCCUCUGGUAGUUAUUGUUAUUACUUCUCCUGGCUUGUGAUGUAAUUAUUAGCUAAAACACAAAAUAUGUGCGCAUCCCUUUCUGUAGUUAUGAUCUGCUGAGUCAUAUACUUGUCAAGAGGAAGCCAAUCUAGUUGGGAACUUUGGGCUAGCACAAAAACAUUCGUGGGUUCGAUAUAUAAUACACGUGGGAUAGAUUGUACAGUUAGUGUUGGAGCACCAGUAAGCAAGACACUAUUUUCAAUAGGUUACACAUCAGGUUGUCAGGCUUGGGAGAUGUGCUAUGGUCUUUCAUCUCAUUCCGCACUUUGAGGCACAUUCAAUAUAUUUGUUGAUAGCCAAAGGAUUAAAACUGGACAACUGGAAAGACACAUUGUGUGCUCAGUAUCAGUGCUACAUAAUUGCCAAAACAGCACACAUUCAUGCAUUCACCAAAAUUCGAAGGCUUUGUAAUCACGUACAGUCAGCUGAAAGCCAGGGUAUUGGCUAUGGUCUAGCCUUGCUGCAGCCUCAAUUAAGCAGCUUGCAGUGAAGAACUCCAUAACACAGUUGUGGCUAUUGGCACUGCGAGCAUGUGCAUUUGUGUGGCCAAAGUUUACUUCAGAGAACUGCUCACUGCACCAGGAAAUAACAUAGUGAAACCGGAAUUUAAAAACCUUGUUGCAAAAUGCACGAGUAAAUGAAUGGCAGCACAAGACAGGUCCUAUGUACUCGUAUCAGAAUUUUCCAUGGCAUGGCGAGGUCAGAGUGUAAUUUUAUUUCCUGGAUACUUCUUCAAAAUACGACCUUAGCCUAGAAGCUAUGCCAGCAUGUCUAUUUGUGUCAGCAAUUCAACUUGAAAAUCAUAGGGAUCUCAAUACUCCCCCCUGCCACUCCCUCGUCCCUUCUUUUUUUUUUUUUUUUUUAACAUGAAAAAAAAAAAUGUGGGAUCAAGGGCUAAACAUAUUGUGAUGUUUUGUGUGGCACAACUGUGCUAGUGCAUUUGUGGAGCAUUUGUUUACCAUAGUCUAUUUAUUAUUGUUAUUACUAUUACUUAUAUUACUUGUCGUAAGUACCCUGCAGCCCAUUGUAUGUCAUAGGUUCUAGAGUGAGCUAUUGGGCAGUCAUCAUUUCGUCUGGGCUCAGUCUUGCGAUUGAAUUCACAUGUUGUAAAGUUGCAUUUGGCUCAUGCAAAGGCACGUAAGUUCCCCACGUUGUGCUGAAUCAAUUGGAAUUUUGUUCCUCAACAAAGCAUGAGGGGAAAGUGGGUAAGUGAGAAGUGUGACUUGUUUCCAAACAUGUGAUUGCUAUCAAUACUGCUCAGCCUCAUUGAAGAUGUGCUAGUAUUUUUUGUCUGUUAUGGUGCAACUUCAAGGUUGCCCAUGUAUAACUUGCAGCGCCAGCUCAUACAGUUGUACUAAAGCGCCAUUUCCUGUUGUCAUGCACGAAUAUUUUAUAAUAUAGCCACCCAAGAUCAGUUAUAGCAUUUUUGUAACUGACCUUCAGGUUGACGGCUUCUAACUACUACGUAUUGAUAGCCUUAUAAUGUAACUGGAAAUUUUUUCCUAGCUUAUUUAAUGCACCACAUAUGCAAUAUGAAAUACAAGAUAAA